GGCCCAGACUCCUACGGGAGGCAGCAGUGAGGAAUAUUGGUCAAUGGCCGAGAGGCUGAACCAGCCAAGUCGCGUGAGGGAAGACUGCCCUAUGGGUUGUAAACCUCUUUUGUCAGGGAGCAACGCCGGCUACGUGUAGCCGGACUGAGAGUACCUGAAGAAAAAGCAUCGGCUAACUCCGUGCCAGCAGCCGCGGUAAUACGGAGGAUGCGAGCGUUAUCCGGAUUUAUUGGGUUUAAAGGGUGCGUAGGCGGAAUGCCAAGUCAGGGGUAAAAUCGCGGGGCUCACCCUCGCUCCGCCGUUGAAACUGGCGUUCUUGAGUGGGCGAGAAGUAUGCGGAAUGCGUGGUGUAGCGGUGAAAUGCAUAGAUAUCACGCAGAACUCCGAUUGCGAAGGCAGCAUACCGGCGCGCAACUGACGCUCAUGCACGAAAGCGUGGGUAUCGAACAGGAUUAGAUACCCGCGUACC
RNAcentral lists this ribosomal RNA (469 nucleotides) under uncultured bacterium. RNAcentral describes it as "bacterial SSU rRNA". It matches the Rfam family "Bacterial small subunit ribosomal RNA", at positions 328 to 796 of the family's 1533-position model. The record is from RNAcentral.